AAGCUGCCAGAACAUCUGUUUUAGGCUUUAACUUACUGAAAGGAAAAGCACUUCAAUUCUUUUUAUGUCUUCAGACCUACCGAGACUAAACCUGAGCAGCUGUCCACUGUUUUUUUUUUUUACCACACCAUAAUGUUGCUGGUGUCUUUCAGACUCUCAGGGAUGCACAGUCUAUGAUGUUAUCAUCAACCAGGACUUCUUCCAGAGGUGUCAGAAGGAUCCUUUAUUCCAGCAUUUUGUUAUACUGGUGUCUUUGGAGGGACUGGAGAAUAAAUACAGUCUGGAACUAAAUAGAGACUGGAAAGUUCUCAAAAACAGGAAAUUCCUGGGCGAAGAGCAGGCCGGUGAUCCAAGAACUGCAGCCUAAGGAAAUCUCCACAGCAUGUGCUAAAAGACCAGAAUUCUCACUGUUUUUGGAGCCUCCUACUGGACACCCAGAGUACCUCAUUGCAGAGAUAAAGCUCCCUGGAGUGGUAAGAGGGAUGCCUUUGGUUCUUGUGGCUAAAAUUAGGAAUUACAGUCAAUGGCCCUGCUGUGAUGUAGUGAUCUUGCACAAGCCAGUUCCAAAGGUCAUAGGAGUUCAUCAUUCCAUAGCGAGAGAGGUUUUUUACAAGAGGAAAAUAGACACAGUUGCCACUGUUCCUCCUUAGGGCAUACAAUGAAAAGUUCACACAUUCCAGGCUUCUGGCAGCACGUUUAAUUUUGAACUUGUCGACAGGAGAUUUACAAAAGAAAAAACAAGUUUGGCUUCUUUGGAACAGUUUUCUUGAGGUUCAGGUUUGAAAAGUUGCAUGUAGGGAUGGAUACGUUUCACAUUUGAACCGAUAAGGUACUGGCACCCAGUAUUAUGUGGUAAUAAUAGUUACAUUCGUUUAAUAUUAAUAAAAUCUCAACAUUUUAUUAUUUAUUUAACGUAUUCAUAUCUCAAUAUAUAAAAUUUUAUGACUAUAUCAAAACAACAUCCAGCUGUUUGUUUGUAACGUCUCAGUUUCAAACAUUUCUUCUCCCAUGUUGCUGGCUGCAGACGAGUCGCUAACGGAUGCAGACAUGCUAAUGGUGCUGAAUGCAGCAGUUGUAGCCAUAGAUCUAAGGCUGAUGAAUAUUGAGAAAAAUCUUG
Long non-coding RNA from Girardinichthys multiradiatus, 1117 nucleotides. RefSeq lists it as uncharacterized. The record is from RefSeq and is a predicted model, not a curated record. The transcript has 5 exons. Lineage: Eukaryota; Metazoa; Chordata; Actinopteri; Cyprinodontiformes; Goodeidae.